UGAACGCUAGCUACAGGCUUAACACAUGCAAGUCGAGGGGAAACGACAUCGAAAGCUUGCUUUUGAUGGGCGUCGACCGGCGCACGGGUGAGUAACGCGUAUCCAACCUGCCCAUCACUUGGGAAUAACCUUGCGAAAGUAAGACUAAUACCCAAUGAUAUCCCACGAAGGCAUCGGAAUGGGAUUAAAGAUUUAUCGGUGAUGGAUGGGGAUGCGUCUGAUUAGCUUGUUGGCGGGGUAACGGCCCACCAAGGCAACGAUCAGUAGGGGUUCUGAGAGGAAGGUCCCCCACAUUGGAACUGAGACACGGUCCAAACUCCUACGGGAGGCAGCAGUGAGGAAUAUUGGUCAAUGGGCGAGAGCCUGAACCAGCCAAGUAGCGUGCAGGAAGACGGCCCUAUGGGUUGUAAACUGCUUUUAUAAGGGAAUAAAGUGGGUCACGUGUGACUUUUUGCAUGUACCUUAUGAAUAAGGACCGGCUAAUUCCGUG
RNAcentral lists this ribosomal RNA (490 nucleotides) under uncultured bacterium. Its description in RNAcentral is "partial 16S ribosomal RNA". It matches the Rfam family "Bacterial small subunit ribosomal RNA", at positions 30 to 507 of the family's 1533-position model. The record is from RNAcentral.